GUGGGGAAUAUUGGUCAAUGGACGAAAGUCUGAACCAGCCAAGUAGCGUGCAGGAUGACGGCCCUAUGGGUUGUAAACUGCUUUUAUACAGGGAUAAAGUGAGCCACGUGUGGUUUUUUGUAGGUACUGUAUGAAUAAGGACCGGCUAAUUCCGUGCCAGCAGCCGCGGUAAUACGGAAGGUCCGGGCGUUAUCCGGAUUUAUUGGGUUUAAAGGGAGCGCAGGCUGAUGAUUAAGCGUGACGUGAAAUGUAGCCGCUCAACGGCUGAACUGCGUCGCGAACUGGUUAUCUUGAGUGAGUUCGAUGUUGGCGGAAUUCGUGGUGUAGCGGUGAAAUGCUUAGAUAUCACGAAGAACUCCGAUUGCGAAGGCAGCCAACAAGGCCUUUACUGACGCUAAAGCUCGAAGGUGCGGGUAUCGAACAGG
RNAcentral lists this ribosomal RNA (425 nucleotides) under uncultured rumen bacterium. RNAcentral describes it as "bacterial SSU rRNA". It matches the Rfam family "Bacterial small subunit ribosomal RNA", at positions 354 to 776 of the family's 1533-position model. The record is from RNAcentral.